GGCUCAGUGGUGGAUGGUCCACACCUGCUUCUUGUGAAGAUUCUUCCACAUACCAGUGGGAGAAGAAGCCUGUUCGAAUCAGGCCUGAGCCA
This is a non-coding RNA of Mycena galericulata, 92 nucleotides long. NCBI's taxonomy places the organism in Eukaryota, Fungi, Basidiomycota, Agaricomycetes, Agaricales, Mycenaceae. The record is from the annotation of a GenBank genome assembly.